AAAAAGAUAAACCCUAGAUUUCUGUGUCCAACAUUUGACUGUCCGUCUUAUAUGAAAAUUUUUAUAAUUAGUAUUUUCAUUGUUAGAUAAUAAAACAUGAUUAAUACUUUGUGUGACUUAUCUUUUUAUUUUUUUCAUAGCUUUUUUAAAUAAGAAGAACAGUCAAACCUUAAAAUACAUAGGGGAAUUGCUCCUCUAGAG
This is a non-coding RNA of Oryza barthii, 201 nucleotides long. The record is from Rfam. Lineage: Eukaryota; Viridiplantae; Streptophyta; Magnoliopsida; Poales; Poaceae.